Molecule: ribosomal RNA, 577 nt
Filed under: uncultured fungus
Lineage: Eukaryota; Fungi
Description: eukaryotic LSU rRNA
Rfam family: Eukaryotic large subunit ribosomal RNA
Source: RNAcentral
AAGGAUUCCCCUAGUAACGGCGAGUGAAGCGGGAUGAGCUCAAAUUUGAAAUCUGGCGGCCUUCGGUCGUCCGAGUUGUAAUCUAAAGAAGCGUUUUCCGCGCUGGACUGUGUACAAGUUUCCUGGAUACGGAACAUCAUAGAGGGUGAGAAUCCCGUCCUUGACACAGGCUGCCAGUGCUCUGUGAUGCGCUCUCGACGAGUCGAGUUGUUUGGGAAUGCAGCUCAAAACGGGAGGUGAAUUCCUUCUAAAGCUAAAUAUUGGCGAGAGACCGAUAGCGAACAAGUACCGUGAGGGAAAGAUGAAAAGCACUUUGGAAAGAGAGUUAAACAGUACGUGAAAUUGUUAAAAGGGAAACGCUUGAAGUCAGUCGCGUCCGUGGGGACUCAGCCUUGCCUCGGCAUGGUGUACUUCCCUGCGGACGGGCCAGCGUCCAUGUUGUGCGUCGGAGAAGGGUCGGUGGCAUGUGGCUCCCUCGGGAGUGUUAUAGCCAUCGGUCGGAUGCGGCGCUUGAUAUGGAGUGGAACGGCACGUCUCGGUGCCUGUGCUGGCAUAAUGGCUUUAAACGACCCGUCUU